Molecule: long non-coding RNA, 874 nt
Organism: Bufo bufo (common toad)
Lineage: Eukaryota; Metazoa; Chordata; Amphibia; Anura; Bufonidae
Exons: 3
Source: RefSeq, a predicted model, not a curated record
GAUAUUAUAUCUGUUUCAGAUCCUCCUGUCAAAUGUUUUGAUGCAAAAGUCUCAUUGGAGAAAACUAUUUCUUCUUUUGAGGAAAGUACAAAAUCUAACUUUAUUAUUCUUCAAAAGUCAAAAAACUUUGGCAAUGAAGACUUCAAGGCUUCUGGCAGUGAAAGAAUCUUGUGGAAGAGUCCGAAUGUGAAUGGAAGCAUACUCAUUUCCUUUACCGGUGUUCCGUAUCUUAUUGUUGGCAGAAAAAGUCUUCAAUGUCAUUUAGGGAGAGAUUUAAAUAGGCAUAAGAGUAAGAAAAAUUCAGGAGAAAUAAAAAAUCAGACUGAAGAUCAUUGCUUUAGAAGAAAACGGAGAAUUAUUCAGAACACAAAGAAAAUGGGAUGCACAGCUGAAAUCCACAUUAUACAUAUUCUUAGAUUUCCAGACUUUAAGGUUACUUAGUUAUUUUUUUUAGAUUACUAUUAUUAUAGAUUAAAGAGAACCAAUUACCAGAAUAUGGCCAACAGAAACUAACGGCAUGUGAUUUCGCUGCUGGAGUUUAGGGCACAAAACAUGGCAAUUUUGGGUCCUCUUUUAAGAAGUUCAAUACUAUCAAAGUUAUUGUACAUAAACCCAAAAUACCUUUUUGGCAGUGCAGGGCGUGCCCUGGCAUGCCAAAAUCAGUAACCAGUAUUUCUCUAGUGGCUUAAAGGGGUUGUCCUAAAAAAAAAAUGAUUGUUUGCAAACCAGCACCUGGAUCUGAACACUUCUCGAAUUGCAUAUAAUAUUAAAUUUAGUAUCCCCAAUGAGUUAUUCAAUUAAAUUUAUCUGUAUAGCUAUAGCACCACCUGCUAACUGAGAUGGCCGCAAACGCUCAGUUUCAUCUUUCAACCGC